GGAGUUAGCCGGUGCUUCUUCUGUGAGUGAUGUCCUUCCUGCCGGCUAUUAACCCGCAGGCCUUCUUCCUCACUGAAAGUGCUUUACAACCCGAAGGCCUUCUUCACACACGCGGCAUGGCUGGAUCAGGGUUGCCCCCAUUGUCCAAUAUUCCCCACUGCUGCCUCCCGUAGGAGUCUGGGCCGUGUCUCAGUCCCAGUGUGGCUGAUCAUCCUCUCAGACCAGCUACGGAUCGUCGCCUUGGUGAGCCGUUACCUCACCAACCAGCUAAUCCGACAUAGGCUCAUCCGAUAGCGCGAGGCCCGAAGGUCCCCCGCUUUCCCCCGUAGGGCGUAUGUGGUAUUAGCCUGGGUUUCCCCAGGUUAUCCCCCACUACCGGGCAGAUUCCUAUGCAUUACUCACCCGUCCGCCGCUCGCCACCAGGGAGCAAGCUCCCCGUGCUGCCGCUCGACUUGCAUGUGUUAGGCCUGCCGCCAGCGUUCAAUCUGAACCAGAUCAAAUUCUGA
This 506-nucleotide ribosomal RNA is filed under the name uncultured bacterium. RNAcentral's name for it is "partial 16S ribosomal RNA". The record is from RNAcentral.